GAUGAACGCUGACAGAAUGCUUAACACAUGCAAGUCAACUUGAAUUUGGGUUUUUAACUUAGAUUUGGGUGGCGGACGGGUGAGUAACGCGUAAAGAACUUGCCUCACAGCUAGGGACAACAUUUAGAAAUGAAUGCUAAUACCUGAUAUUAUGAUUUUAAGGCAUCUUAGAAUUAUGAAAGCUAUAAGCACUGUGAGAGAGCUUUGCGUCCCAUUAGCUAGUUGGAGAGGUAACAGCUCACCAAGGCGAUGAUGGGUAGCCGGCCUGAGAGGGUGAACGGCCACAAGGGGACUGAGACACGGCCCUUACUCCUACGGGAGGCAGCAGUGGGGAAUAUUGGACAAUGGACCGAGAGUCUGAUCCAGCAAUUCUGUGUGCACGAUGAAGUUUUUCGGAAUGUAAAGUGCUUUCAGUUGGGAAGAAAGAAAUGACGGUACCAACAGAAGAAGUGACGGCUAAAUACGUGCCAGCAGCCGCGGUAAUACGUAUGUCACGAGCGUUAUCCGGAUUUAUUGGGCGUAAAGCGCGUCUAGGUGGUUAUGUAAGUCUGAUGUGAAAAUGCAGGGCUCAACUCUGUAUUGCGUUGGAAACUGUAUAACUAGAGUACUGGAGAGGUAAGCGGAGCUACAAGUGUAGAGGUGAAAUUCGUAGAUAUUUGUAGGAAUGCCGAUGGGGAAGCCAGCUUACUGGACAGAUACUGACGCUAAAGCGCGAAAGCGUGGGUAGCAAACAGG
RNAcentral lists this ribosomal RNA (735 nucleotides) under uncultured Fusobacterium sp. Its description in RNAcentral is "bacterial SSU rRNA". It matches the Rfam family "Bacterial small subunit ribosomal RNA", at positions 28 to 776 of the family's 1533-position model. Lineage: Bacteria; Fusobacteriati; Fusobacteriota; Fusobacteriia; Fusobacteriales; Fusobacteriaceae. The record is from RNAcentral.